This 275-nucleotide ribosomal RNA is filed under the name uncultured bacterium. RNAcentral describes it as "partial 16S ribosomal RNA". It matches the Rfam family "Bacterial small subunit ribosomal RNA", at positions 338 to 610 of the family's 1533-position model. The record is from RNAcentral.
CCUACGGGUGGCUGCAGUAGGGAAUAUUGGGCAAUGGAUGAGAGUCUGACCCAGCCAUGCCGCGUGCCGGACGAAGGCCCUCAGGGUUGUAAACGGCUUUUAUCCGGGAAGAAGAGUUCCGCUGCGGCGGGAUGUGACGGUACCGGAAGAAUAAGCACCGGCUAACUCCGUGCCAGCAGCCGCGGUAAUACGGAGGGUGCGAGCGUUGUCCGGAUUUAUUGGGUUUAAAGGGUGCGUAGGUGGCCUAAUAAGUCAGUGGUGAAAUACGGUUGCUC